GUCCAGACUCCUACGGGAGGCAGCAGUGGGGAAUAUUGGGCAAUGGGCGCAAGCCUGACCCAGCAACGCCGCGUGAAGGAAGAAGGCUUUCGGGUUGUAAACUUCUUUUAUCAGGGACGAAGCAAGUGACGGUACCUGAUGAAUAAGCCACGGCUAACUACGUGCCAGCAGCCGCGGUAAUACGUAGGUGGCAAGCGUUAUCCGGAUUUACUGGGUGUAAAGGGCGUGUAGGCGGGAGUGCAAGUCAGAUGUGAAAACUAUGGGCUCAACCCAUAGCCUGCAUUUGAAACUGUACUUCUUGAGUGCUGGAGAGGCAAUCGGAAUUCCGUGUGUAGCGGUGAAAUGCGUAGAUAUACGGAGGAACACCAGUGGCGAAGGCGACUAUCUGGCACAUAACUGACGCUGAGGAGCGAAAGCGUGGGUAGCAAACAGGAUUAGAUACCCUUGUAC
Molecule: ribosomal RNA, 450 nt
Filed under: uncultured bacterium
Lineage: Bacteria
Description: partial 16S ribosomal RNA
Rfam family: Bacterial small subunit ribosomal RNA
Source: RNAcentral